Molecule: transfer RNA, 68 nt
Filed under: Neorossia caroli
Lineage: Eukaryota; Metazoa; Mollusca; Cephalopoda; Sepiida; Sepiolidae
Description: tRNA-Glu
Rfam family: tRNA
About the family: Transfer RNA (tRNA) molecules are approximately 80 nucleotides in length. Their secondary structure includes four short double-helical elements and three loops (D, anti-codon, and T loops).
Source: RNAcentral
GUUCUUAUAGUGUAUUGAUAGCACAUUAGAUUUUCAAUUUUUUAGAGCAUAUUAAUAUGUUAAGAAUA